GCCGAUAUGGUGGAACUGGUAGACACGCCAUCUUGAGGUGGUGGUGAUUCUUAUCGUGUGGGUUCGAGUCCCACUAUCGGCACCA
Molecule: transfer RNA, 85 nt
Filed under: Burkholderiales bacterium
Lineage: Bacteria; Pseudomonadati; Pseudomonadota; Betaproteobacteria; Burkholderiales
Description: tRNA-Leu
Rfam family: tRNA
About the family: Transfer RNA (tRNA) molecules are approximately 80 nucleotides in length. Their secondary structure includes four short double-helical elements and three loops (D, anti-codon, and T loops). Further hydrogen bonds mediate the characteristic L-shaped molecular structure. tRNAs have two regions of fundamental functional importance: the anti-codon, which is responsible for specific mRNA codon recognition, and the 3' end, to which the tRNAs corresponding amino acid is attached (by aminoacyl-tRNA synthetases). tRNAs cope with the degeneracy of the genetic code in two manners: having more than one tRNA (with a specific anti-codon) for a particular amino acid; and 'wobble' base-pairing, i.e. permitting non-standard base-pairing at the 3rd anti-codon position.
Source: RNAcentral